GAUGAACGCUGGCGGCGUGCCUAAUACAUGCAAGUCGAGCGAACGGACGAGAAGCUUGCUUCUCUGAUGUUAGCGGCGGACGGGUGAGUAACACGUGGAUAACCUACCUAUAAGACUGGGAUAACUUCGGGAAACCGGAGCUAAUACCGGAUAAUAUUUUGAACCGCAUGGUUCAAAAGUGAAAGACGGUCUUGCUGUCACUUAUAGAUGGAUCCGCGCUGCAUUAGCUAGUUGGUAAGGUAACGGCUUACCAAGGCAACGAUGCAUAGCCGACCUGAGAGGGUGAUCGGCCACACUGGGACUGAGACACGGUCCAGACUCCUACGGGAGGCAGCAGUAGGGAAUCUUCCGCAAUGGGCGAAAGCCUGACGGAGCAACGCCGCGUGAGUGAUGAAGGUCUUCGGAUCGUAAAACUCUGUUAUUAGGGACGAACAUAUGUGUAAGUAACUGUGCACAUCUUGACGGUACCUAAUCAGAAAGCCACGGCUAACUACGUG
Molecule: ribosomal RNA, 497 nt
Filed under: uncultured bacterium
Lineage: Bacteria
Description: partial 16S ribosomal RNA
Rfam family: Bacterial small subunit ribosomal RNA
Source: RNAcentral